UACGGAGGGGGCAAGCGUUGUUCGGAUUUACUGGGCGUAAAGGGUGUGUAGGCGGUUGUGUAAGUCUGGUGUGAAAUCUUCGCGCUCAACGCGAAGCGGUCACUGGAAACUGCGUAACUCGAGUGUGGUAGAGGCAAGCGGAAUUCCUGGUGUAGCGGUGGAAUGUGUAGAUAUCAGGAAGAACACCUGUGGCGAAAGCGGCUUGCUGGGCCAUCACUGACGCUGAGACACGAAAGCGUGGGGAGCAAAC
RNAcentral lists this ribosomal RNA (250 nucleotides) under uncultured bacterium. RNAcentral's name for it is "partial 16S ribosomal RNA". It matches the Rfam family "Bacterial small subunit ribosomal RNA", at positions 524 to 773 of the family's 1533-position model. The record is from RNAcentral.